Molecule: ribosomal RNA, 253 nt
Filed under: uncultured bacterium
Lineage: Bacteria
Description: partial 16S ribosomal RNA
Rfam family: Bacterial small subunit ribosomal RNA
Source: RNAcentral
UACGUAGGGUGCGAGCGUUGUCCGGAAUUACUGGGCGUAAAGAGCUCGUAGGUGGUUUGUCGCGUUGUUCGUGAAAACUCACAGCUCAACUGUGGGCGUGCGGGCGAUACGGGCAGACUGGAGUACUGCAGGGGAGACUGGAAUUCCUGGUGUAGCGGUGAAAUGCGCAGAUAUCAGGAGGAACACCGGUGGCGAAGGCGGAUCUCUGGGCCGAAACUGACGCUGAGGAGCGAAAGCGUGGGGAGCAAACAGG